This 787-nucleotide long non-coding RNA is filed under the name Androctonus crassicauda. Lineage: Eukaryota; Metazoa; Arthropoda; Arachnida; Scorpiones; Buthidae. The record is from RNAcentral.
CGGAAACUGGCCAACGUAUAAGUAGGCCGGAAAGCUACUACUUUAUAGAACGUCGCAACCUUUCUCUGUCUAGUAAUCGUCGGUUAGACAACGCCAGUCACUGGAUGCGUCUCUCUACACAAGGUCCAUCCCACACUCUGCGGCAGGUAAAGAAGCCUCCAGGUGAAGUAAUGGCGCGGUUAUAACUUCCCCUCUACUUUGUUCGAGCUGUUUAACGUUUUCGUAACUAAGUUCAUAGUGUCGAAAGCCAUCUUUAAGUCUCGACAUCAAAAAAAAAACACUAUUAUUCUUUCAUUGUUCCUGUAGAAUUUAAGGUGAAAUCUAUUCAGUGAUCGAAAAGUGCAAUAGACCGCGGUCACAUGAUUGUACAUACAACUACCUUUUUCUCUGACGUCAUCAGGUUCGUGAGGUAGGUACCCGCACUGAUAUACUGUUUUUACAAAUCGCUUUUCUCACUAUUUAUUUGUACAUUAAAUGUAUCUUUUGUUUGGCUUAGAAUAAAACGCAAAUUUUGUUUACAUGUUGGUGUUGGUUUAUUUAUUUGAUGUUUACCAAGUUUUUUGUUACAGUCACCUUACAGCCGACAUGCCACGACGUUUUUCUUUUUAUCUUCGUGUUUUCCUCCACCGUAAUGGCCGAAGACAUUAAUUAUGAAUCGACUCCUAUGCUAAAAUGUAACCUCGAUAAAACGAAUUAUUGUUUGAGACUACACACACACACACACACACUCACUCACUCGCAGAUUACGUUUCUUGUGUCUUAGCCGUAGGGAUUCUUCUUCUCCCCA